RNAcentral lists this unclassified non-coding RNA (337 nucleotides) under Hevea brasiliensis (rubber tree). Lineage: Eukaryota; Viridiplantae; Streptophyta; Magnoliopsida; Malpighiales; Euphorbiaceae. The record is from RNAcentral.
AUUUCCCUCAAUCCAAACAAAGGGCAAGGGUAAUCACUGAACACACAGCUCAGCGAAGGUAGUUAGCUAAUGCUCCAACUAUAAUGAAUAGACAUCGGUAAUUCAAUAUGCACUAUGAAAAAUAAGUAUAUUGCUUAACCAUGAAAGAUACCCAAAAUUUGAAACUAAGCACUACAUAUGAAUUCAAGAUUUUAAAAUCCAUAAUGCACAAAUUCAUUUGAUACCGCCAGAACAAAAGCAACUAUCAAAAGCAAAUGUGAUGAAAACAAAAGAAGGAAAGCCUAGGCUUGUUUGAUUUUCUUUUAUAUGAGCAAGCAAGCUUAAAGUAAGAAUCACC